Pristis pectinata (smalltooth sawfish) is the source of this 243-nucleotide long non-coding RNA. RefSeq lists it as uncharacterized. The record is from RefSeq and is a predicted model, not a curated record. The transcript has 3 exons. Lineage: Eukaryota; Metazoa; Chordata; Chondrichthyes; Rhinopristiformes; Pristidae.
GGAUGAGCAGGCCCAAACUGAGGGAAUGAUGGAAGGAUCCCGAAAUUUAUCCACAUUCUUGGACCAUGUGACCAACUGGUACAUCACAACAGGAGCAUAGCCCUCAGUGAGCCAUGUGUGUUGAAGGUCAAGGGACCCAGGAAGAGCGAUUUGUUUUUCCAUAAGGCCUGUCAUCAUCUCAGCUGUCCUAAGCAGUUCACAGCUAAUGAAGUCUUCUGGAAGUGUCAUUCAUCUUUCAACGUG